UGGAUUCUUGUUUGACCUUACAAGGCCAAUUGUGGUCCCGGCGUUCUUUUAGCCACCACAACCCCAGGGACUGAAGUCCUCUGUCCAUCCCCAGAACAGGUACAGCAUGGACAGCAGCAGGGUGAGCUCUGUCACCUCCCAUUGUGACUCUGCAUUGACCUAGGCUGCUCACCUGAUGGAAGGAGAGUACCACGGGGCUGGACAUCUCUACAAAGGAGAAGUUUCACAUCUGAGAUGAAAGUCCAGUGGAGGGGACAGGACCAAGUGAUCUCUCUCCUCCCUGGUCACCAUAGCAGCAGGGAAUCUCCUCCCUCCCCCACAUAUAUGGGCUGCAGUGAAGAAUAAUAUCCCAACCUGCAAUGAAAACCAGUGAGCAGUUGUGGAUCAGCAUUUGGAAUUGCCAGAACUUUAUUAUUAAUUAUUUGGGGUAUGUUGUGCCUAGCAGCCCCAGCUGAGAUCCGGAUCCCUGUGUACAUACACGCAGUCCCUGCCCUGAACAGCUUACAAACUGAAUAGAUAAGAAGGACAAAAUAAGUUGUACAGUCCCUGUUCUACAGUUGAGAAAGUGAGGCACAGGGGUUCAGUGACUUUUCCCAGGUCACACAGGGAGGAAGUAUGUGGCAGAGCUGGGAAUGGAAUUGGGUACCUUCCUCUCAAUUUUAAUAACAGGCUCACGAGGUCUUACAAGUCUAGACAUAGCAGCAGCAGUGGAGAAAUUCC
Molecule: long non-coding RNA, 720 nt
Organism: Mauremys reevesii (Reeves's turtle)
Lineage: Eukaryota; Metazoa; Chordata; Testudines; Geoemydidae
Exons: 3
Source: RefSeq, a predicted model, not a curated record